AAUAAAGUGCCUGAUUAAAGGAUUAUUUUGAUAGAAUAAAUUAUAUAAUAAUUAUUAUUAUCUUUAUUA
Molecule: transfer RNA, 69 nt
Filed under: Muscidifurax similadanacus
Lineage: Eukaryota; Metazoa; Arthropoda; Insecta; Hymenoptera; Pteromalidae
Description: tRNA-Ile
Source: RNAcentral